UAGUAAUUUGGUUCUAGUUAAAUUUUAGUUAGAGGGGUGGAAAAUACAUGGAAUUUGUUGAAGCGAGUGAGUUAAAAUGUUUGUUUUAAAAUUAGUUUAAAACUAUUCUAUGGCUGCAUUUGAGUAUUAUUGAAAAAUAUAGUUAAGGAAGAUGAUGCUUAGAGAUUUCACUUCACCAGUAUUGGAGAUUAAGUAUUUAGGAAACUAAGACUUAGUAAGUACCUGUAUGAGAGGCUCGGAGAAAUUUGUGCCAGCUUCCGCGGUUAGACAAAUGAGUCAAAUUAAAAAUAAUUGGUAAAAAAUGUAGUUAAUAAGUGUGUUAAAAGGUGCCCAGAGAACUAUUUGGCGGUAAAAUGUUUUUAGAUAGUGUGUGUGUUUUCUUUCACCUUAGUUAUGACUCUACGAAAUCUUUUAUUUAAACCGGGAUUAGAUACCCCGUUAUUUAAGAUGUAAAUAGCAAAAGUUACCUGAGUAUUACUGGAGAAAAAUGUUAAAAAUGUUUAAGUAGUCUUAAAACUCAAAGAACUUGGCGGUGUUUUAAGCCCUUUCAGGGGAACCUGUUCCGUAAUCGAUAGUCCACGAAGAACCUUACUUUCUUUUGUAUUUCAGUUUGUAUACCGUCGUCGUCAGGUAAUUUUCAGAGAAAAAAGUAGUUAGCUGAAAGAAUUGUUUAUUCUAGACGUCAGAUCAAGGUGCAGCUUAUAGGGAAGUGGUGAUGGGUUACAGGUAUAUGAGUUUUUAUGGUUUUUAUUAUGAAAUAUAGUAAAAUAAAACGGACUUGAGAGUAAGCCCUAGUAAGAGAGUAGGUGUUGAAAAUGGUUUUAAAAUGUGCACAAAUCGCCCGUCGCUCUCGUUGAAAACUGAGAUAAGUCGUAACAUAGUAAGGGUACUGGAAAGUGUUCUUGAGAUAAA
RNAcentral lists this ribosomal RNA (912 nucleotides) under Coccocrater sp. MNHN-IM-2013-41044. RNAcentral describes it as "12S ribosomal RNA". The record is from RNAcentral. Lineage: Eukaryota; Metazoa; Mollusca; Gastropoda; Cocculinidae.